CAUUUCUAACGAAAUAUACUUUCAGCUGGGUGUGUUGGCCCUCGGGAGGCUGAGGCAGAAGGAUCGCUGGGAGUUCCAGACCAGCCUGGGCUACACAGCGAGUUCCAGUUGCUCUCCGCCUGGGGUGGCCUCCCGGUCCGACCCUCAUUCCCAACCACAGCUCCCACGCCAACGCAAGCCGUCAUCAUGAGCCUGAACUUCCGAAUGAACGCUUGUGUCGGAAACCACAGAAGGCACCCACGGUGCACUCCGCCUGAGAAGACAUGUUCAAAUAUUUGUCUCUCUGCCUGGACGCUCUCCAGGCUACAGGUGGUUCCAAUUUUCAACUCGUGGAAGAAACCAUACGCUAAGGAAGCAAUGGCAUCCUGUUGUGUAUCUCUCUGCAUCUGCCCUCGCCUGUACCAGUUAUUCUCCAUAAGAAGUCGGAGUGACCUUUGGCUCAAAAUUCUCCAGUGGUUUCAUUUUCACUUUCUCCCAGUUUUUAUCCAACUUCCCCAAAUAAAAUAGCAACUUCCCUGUUCCUUGCCUGUAUCAGACUCCCAAUUCCUCUAUUCCCUCCCUCUCCAUAGCACCUAUCGCCACGUGACAUACUUAUCUACAUAACAAGAGGCAGAAUGCCUUUUCCAGGUUGUAGAUGGAGUCCCCUCCACGUGCCCUUCUUACAGUGCGGCGUGUCCACGACUGCC
Fukomys damarensis (Damara mole-rat) is the source of this 686-nucleotide long non-coding RNA. RefSeq lists it as uncharacterized. NCBI's taxonomy places the organism in Eukaryota, Metazoa, Chordata, Mammalia, Rodentia, Bathyergidae. The transcript has 3 exons. The record is from RefSeq and is a predicted model, not a curated record.